Non-coding RNA from Camellia sinensis, 1149 nucleotides. Lineage: Eukaryota; Viridiplantae; Streptophyta; Magnoliopsida; Ericales; Theaceae. The record is from RefSeq and is a predicted model, not a curated record.
GCCAUCAUACCCCCCUAGACUAUAAUCAUUGUACUUUAAAAUCUCUUGAAAUCUUGAAGCAAUAAUGACUUUGGUACCUAUAAAGAUUUGCUAUAUUUAUGUGUGUACUUCUAAGAUAUUUACAUUAGUCCUAGACCUAACUGGAUCAUAAUUAAAUACAUCAUUAAGGUUCUAAUCCUCCUCAUUUCAUUACAUUUAAUGUGAAGCCCCGGAAAAAAUGCAUUUGAAUUAUUUUCUUAAAGCCCCUUAGUUUCUUAAAUUAUUUCGAAUCUUGCCAGUUAGCAUUUUUAAUUUUUAUCGGAACAAGAAUAUCCUAGCCUAAUUAGGUUCCUUAGCCUAAUUUAAUUUAAUUAUACAUAAGUAAGGUUCCAAUACAUGAGUUUAAUUCCAAGCCCUCAAUUCUUUAUUUAAAUUCUAAACUUACCCCAAAACUAGUACUUGUACCUUGUACCUUGAAGUACCAUCAAUCAUGUAAUAUAAAUAUAUGUAUACAUCUUGAAGAGUGUACCCUAGGACAUAAAAUAAUAAAGAAUUUGCCCUCCACACUUCCCUAUGGCUGCCCUUCCUUGGAGAAUGUGAGAAAUCAAAUUCCAAGAAACACCAUUAUGAGAUUCUAGGAAAAUAUACAACCUAGUGACCUACCUAGGAUACAAAAUCCAAGAAUUAGUUUUAUUACAACUAGAUGUGGCCUAAACCAAUGGAAUACACCUCCUAAGUCCCUUCCAUUCCUUUAGAAUUCAAGAAAAAUCAUAACUUUCCAUCCAAUUCCAACUAAAGGGCUUUUAUGUCCUUUUGCCACCAAUUUGCCUAUAUAUACCACACCCUCCCUAGCUUGCUAACAUACACACAACACACUCACUCACACACAUUUUGGUUAGAGAGAGGGGGGGAGAGCAAGGAAGAGAAGUCUAGAGGAGAAGAGGGAGGGAGAAAAGAGUUUCUUGUGCAAAGUUUGGAAGGUGACGAAGAGGAACUCAUAGCUGGAGACGUCGAACCUAAAACCUUUGAAGACUUUUGGCUAUCCUAGAAUAUUAGAAGUUUCCUUUUGGAUAUUUUGUAAGACUCAUGCGAAGUUUAAAACUUUCUUUUUGGGAUGUAAUGUAAUGGAAUAAUCUUUUGAAUCAAGUAUAAUUGUGGUUGUUAUGUAUC